RNAcentral lists this ribosomal RNA (253 nucleotides) under uncultured bacterium. RNAcentral describes it as "partial 16S ribosomal RNA". It matches the Rfam family "Bacterial small subunit ribosomal RNA", at positions 524 to 776 of the family's 1533-position model. The record is from RNAcentral.
UACGAGGGGGGCAAGCGUUGUUCGGAAUUAUUGGGCGUAAAGGGCGCGUAGGCGGUGCGGUAAGUCACCUGUGAAAACUCUGGGCUCAACUCAGAGCCUGCAGGCGAAACUGCCGUGCUUGAGUGUGGGAGAGGUGCGUGGAAUUCCCGGUGUAGCGGUGAAAUGCGUAGAUAUCAGGAAGAACACCUAUGGCGAAGGCAGCUCUCUGGGCCUUACCUGACGCUGAGGAGCGAAAGCGUGGGGAGCGAACAGG